RNAcentral lists this ribosomal RNA (560 nucleotides) under uncultured bacterium. RNAcentral describes it as "bacterial SSU rRNA". It matches the Rfam family "Bacterial small subunit ribosomal RNA", at positions 338 to 916 of the family's 1533-position model. The record is from RNAcentral.
CCUACGGGAGGCAGCAGUGGGGAAUAUUGGACAAUGGGCGCAAGCCUGAUCCAGCCAUGCCGCGUGAGUGAUGACGGCCUUAGGGUUGUAAAGCUCUUUCGCUCGGGACGAUAAUGACGGUACCUAGAUAAGAAGCCCCGGCUAACUUCGUGCCAGCAGCCGCGGUAAUACGAAGGGGGCUAGCGUUGUUCGGAAUUACUGGGCGUAAAGCGCGUGUAGGCGGGUCUUUAAGUCAGGGGUGAAAUGCCAAGGCUCAACCUUGGAACUGCCUUUGAUACUGGAGAUCUUGAGUCCGGGAGAGGUGAGUGGAAUUGCGAGUGUAGAGGUGAAAUUCGUAGAUAUUCGCAAGAACACCAGUGGCGAAGGCGGCUCACUGGCCCGGAACUGACGCUGAGACGCGAAAGCGUGGGGAGCAAACAGGAUUAGAUACCCUGGUAGUCCACGCUGUAAACGAUGGAUGCUAGCCGUUGGGGAGCUUGCUCACUAGUGGCGCAGCUAACGCUUUAAGCAUUCCGCCUGGGGAGUACGGUCGCAAGAUUAAAACUCAAAGGAAUUGACGG